UGCGUCUCUGUCUCCUGGCGCUCCGGCUUCGAGUCUACGGGGCCCUUCCUGCGGAGAAUCAGGAAAGAGCGCUGAGGCCGCGGCCUCGCCCUGGGCAGCCCGGAGGGGCUCCAGCCCAGCCCUGGCGGACAGUCGCCUCAGAGAAGCCCCAGCUUAGGCUGCAGACACGUCUAAUGAGCACACAGCACGGCACACGCGCACACACCACGGGGCACAACCCGACAACAGCGGACAAGGAGAGGCCGUACUCGGUCUGGGCCGGUGCAGGCGGAACCGAGCUGUCUGCAGUGGGAGGAGCGAGUGCAGGCGCCUGUCCACUGGCCCCAGCGGCAGGAGCAGGAGAGCCCAGGGCUGCAAAAACAUCCUUUGCAAGGAACAUUCCAGAGGGUCCUGACAUUGGAGCACAUGGGCUUCCUGCUGUCCUCCUUUGUUGCACCCAGAAAGACAAACGAAGCCCACCUGCUUUGGAGACAUGGAGGCCUCCCGGGACCGGUGGGCAAGCGAGCGGUCCGGCAGCCCAGGUACAGACGCAUGGGGGGCUCUGUUCUGACUGCCCCAGGGUCCCAGCUCGGGUACCACAGAGCUUCCUCAGUGCCAGCCCUGCCCCACUGGCCUUACUGCAAACUUCAGGGCCGAGCGCAGCCCAGCAUGCCAGAGAUGCCCAAGCAUGCCCGGAUUCCCAGCACCAGGGCACCAGGCCACAGCUGGGCUGAGCUGGUGAUGAUCCCGAGCUCUCGGGUGUUUCUGGCUCCGGGGUCCUUGGUCUUGUUUCCCAGCCUUUCUCCCUCGGGCUCUGGCUGGUCCCAGCCGACCCCGCACUGGGGACCCCAGCCCAUUCCCCAGGAAGGCCAGAGACCAGCAAGGGGCUCUGUGCUCGGGGCCCAGCUCUGGCCACCCUGUCUCACGGGCCCCCAUGGUCAGGCAGUCAGGUCUUUCCCUGGCUGCUCACUAUGCAGAACGAAGCCAUCCGCUCUCCUUCCCCACGGUCCUCACACUUUCCACCCAAAUAAGCAGAAGGAAGAAAUACAAGCCUUCUUGAUCUCAGAAUCCCGAAGCUGUUUCCCUGAACAGGGACAGAGUAUGAGCCUUGGGCUGGCUCACCCUGCACCCCAGCACUGGGCUGGGGGCCCUGCAGCCCCUGACCCUGCACUCAGCAGGUGUGAAGUGUUCACCUCCUGAAGAAGGGCUGGAAGCACUGUGGGGGGAGAAUGUGCAUAUUGGGGCUCAAGGGCACCAACCCUACAUUCUGAGGUUUAUACACAAGUAUGGUUUUAGGGCACUAAUCACCUCUCUAAAGAGGAAAAUAAACCACUGUAAAGCUGCUCUGUGUGGGAGACAGAAGUCAUCCCACCUGCGCUCUGGGCUCAUGAGGCCCAGCUGGCCAGCACCCUGGCCCUGAGUGCGGAGGCCAUGAGCCCCGGGAAGAGCCCUGGGGGUGGAAGUUUCCGCAUAGAGCAGGAAGCACGGCACUGGCCUCCCUUCCACUGGGCAGGAAAUCCAGAUUCCCUCUCCUGGCCUGAAGGCCAGGUGCCCCAUGGACUCUCGCGUCCUCCCACAGGGCUCCCGGCACCAGCCUCCCCCAGCGGCUGACCUGCCGGGCGCGCAGUAGCCCCACCAGCCCAGCACGAAGGCUCUUCCCUGUCGCCCCUCAGCUCAGACGUCACCUUGUCAGAGAACCCCCACCUCUUAUCUACCCGACACCAUCACACUGCCCGUAUUAUGGUCUGAUUUCCUCUCUCUGCCGCUUUCUGUUCACUUACAUGCCUUUUAUGUGGC
This is a long non-coding RNA of Manis pentadactyla (Chinese pangolin), 1776 nucleotides long. RefSeq lists it as uncharacterized. NCBI's taxonomy places the organism in Eukaryota, Metazoa, Chordata, Mammalia, Pholidota, Manidae. The transcript is spliced from 4 exons. The record is from RefSeq and is a predicted model, not a curated record.